Molecule: ribosomal RNA, 468 nt
Filed under: uncultured bacterium
Lineage: Bacteria
Description: partial 16S ribosomal RNA
Rfam family: Bacterial small subunit ribosomal RNA
Source: RNAcentral
GACGAACGCUGGCGGCGUGCUUAACACAUGCAAGUCGAACGGAAAGGCCCUGCUUUUGUGGGGUGCUCGAGUGGCGAACGGGUGAGUAACACGUGAGUAACCUGCCCUUGACUUUGGGAUAACUUCAGGAAACUGGGGCUAAUACCGGAUAGGAGCUCCUGCUGCAUGGUGGGGGUUGGAAAGUUUCGGCGGUUGGGGAUGGACUCGCGGCUUAUCAGCUUGUUGGUGGGGUAGUGGCUUACCAAGGCUUUGACGGGUAGCCGGCCUGAGAGGGGGACCGGCCACAUUGGGACUGAGAUACGGCCCAGACUCCUACGGGAGGCAGCAGUGGGGAAUAUUGCACAAUGGGCGGAAGCCUGAGGCAGCAACGCCGCGUGCGUGAUGACGGCCUUCGGGUUGUAAACCGCUUUCGCCUGUGACGAAGCGUGAGUGACGGUAAUGGGUAAAGAAGCACCGGCUAACUACGUG